CUCUCAGGAGGUUAAAUGCCCUAGUAUGAGUGUAUUAAAAAUGAAAUUGAUUCGGUCCGCACCGGUUCAGAUUCAAUAUCCGAUGAUUCAGUUACAUUGUUUCCGAUGCUUUUCCUCUUUUAAUCGCGCAUGCGCAUCAGCUUUCACUCUGCAGCAACACUUCUAAGCGAAAUAUUGAUAUGGUGCUAAUUAAUGGACACUUACAUAGAUCUCUGCCAAUCGUUCGGUGUGCCCCUCUGGGUGGGGCCGUUGCUCCACGCGGUCUCCAGGCUGAAGACGACAGACCGGAUCAAACGAAGAAAAGUUUACCGUUUAAUCCAGCGUCAGUUAGUAAGAGUCGCUUUGUAUUUUAUUAUCAUUUUGUCUUUAUUUUGUCUGAUCUUAACGCAAAUGUUGACAGCUGAACAGGAUCGGCUGUAGCACACGUGUCAAACCCACUUACGUGUACCCAGCUGAGCUCAAAGAGAUGGUCCGAGCAGCCUUUCCAAAAGACAUCUGUGACUAUGACGACCCCUGUCACGAAAAUGUGAGAGGAAUACAGUUAAAGGGAUAGUUCACCCAAAAAUGAAAAGGUGAUGCCUAUCUGCU
RNAcentral lists this long non-coding RNA (588 nucleotides) under Sinocyclocheilus grahami. RNAcentral describes it as "lncRNA (ENSSGRG00000037626.1)". Lineage: Eukaryota; Metazoa; Chordata; Actinopteri; Cypriniformes; Cyprinidae. The record is from RNAcentral.